GAUGAACGCUGGCGGCGUGCCUAAUACAUGCAAGUCGAGCGAACAGACGCGGAGCUUGCUCCUCUCACGUUAGCGGCAGACGGGUGUAUCACACGUGUAAAACCCACCUAUCAGACUGGGAUCACUUCGGGAAACCGGCGCUAAUCCGGGAUGAUCUCUUGAACCGCAGGGUUCAAUGGUGAGAUACGGUGUUGCGGGCACUUAUAGCUGGAUCUGGGCCGCAUUAGCUAGUUGGUAGGGUAAAGGGUUACCAAGGCAACGAUGCGUAGCCGAACUGAGGGGCGGGUCGGCCACACGGGAAGUGGGCCACGGACCAGACGCCUACGGGAGGCAGCAGUAGGGAAUGGGCGGCAAUGGGCGAGAGCCUGACGGAGUAGCGCGGAGUGAGUGAUGGCGGCGUUCGGAGCGUAAAACUCGGUUAUGAGGGAAGAACCAAUGUGGAAGGAACUAAGCACGUCGUGACGGUACCUAGUCAGAAAGCCACGGCUAACUACGUG
RNAcentral lists this ribosomal RNA (497 nucleotides) under uncultured bacterium. Its description in RNAcentral is "partial 16S ribosomal RNA". It matches the Rfam family "Bacterial small subunit ribosomal RNA", at positions 28 to 507 of the family's 1533-position model. The record is from RNAcentral.